AUUUCAUAGUGGACCUCAGAUUUAUCUUCGAGGGCAGACAACUGGAGGUGGGUCGUACACUUGGCUCUUAUGGCGUACUAAACGAAUCUACUAUUCAUGCAGUUCAACGUCUACGUGGUGGAGCUGUUCUCGAGAUGUGAGUCGUCCUCAAAGCUGAAAGCUGAAUCUGAUCGGGACCCAAAUGAACUGGAGGCAGACUUCUCGACUCCUCUCACUGGAAAAAUAAAGUGAAUAAGAACAGUGCAUCAUAUCAAUGUUAUGCUUAACACACAAUAUCACAAACC
RNAcentral lists this long non-coding RNA (284 nucleotides) under Sinocyclocheilus grahami. RNAcentral's name for it is "lncRNA (ENSSGRG00000024076.1)". Lineage: Eukaryota; Metazoa; Chordata; Actinopteri; Cypriniformes; Cyprinidae. The record is from RNAcentral.